CUUCUCUGGAGGAAGCAACCCUGCACAGAGGGAAAGAAGAAUCUCAACAUACAGUCCUCAGCAGCUUUAGCAUGGGCAACAAAUUAAGUCUCUGUAAAAGGCCCAAAGGACAGGGUUUGGUGAGAUUCUGGAGAGCUGGAAACAUGGAGGUUGACAGGAAUGUAAAGAAGAACUCAUUUACAUGCCAGGAGGGUGGAACACCCCAAUUCCAUGAGGAUAACUGCUCCUGUACUCCAGACCUCACCCCAUGUGUCUCUUCAUCUGGCUGGUUAUUUGUCCUUUAAGAUCUCCUUACUCAACCAGUAAAUGUGUCUUUACAUUGUUUUAGUCUUGAACUAGAAGAUGAAAGCAUCAAAUAAAGAAAUAUACUGUGGGUAUAUGGAUUACAAAAAAAGUGCUGGAUGUUCCAUGCCCUCAAACAUUGGACUCCAAGCUCUUCAGCUUUGGGACUUCAACUGGCUUCCUUGCUCCUCGGCUUACAGAUGGCCUAUUGUGGGACCCUGUGAUCGUGUGAGUUAAUAUGCCUUAAUAAACUCACCUUUAUACAUACAUCAAUCCUAUUAGUUCUGUCCCUCUAGAGAACUGUGACUAAUACAGAUUUUGGUACCAGGAGUGGUUCUAGAGGAAAAGAAUAUUAAAAAUGGAGUUCUUUUGUUGGUUUUCAGGUUUCUGGAGUUGGCUUCUUAAAGUGAUUAGCCAUAAAAAUGCUAAGGACUCUAAUUCUAAUAGUAUGGAGAACAGACAGUCCUUGGUGUGAACAAUUUAGAGAGUUAUUAUGCAAAAUAAAUGCAUUUGAUACUCUUGAUUCACCGCUCAUGAAAGGCAAGGAGUUUAGUGACUCAAUACCUAAUACCUUUGACCAUAUGUGGAGAACCAAGGAACAUAAUGAAGUUGGUUGGUUG
Molecule: long non-coding RNA, 902 nt
Filed under: Homo sapiens (human)
Lineage: Eukaryota; Metazoa; Chordata; Mammalia; Primates; Hominidae
Description: non-protein coding lnc-ADGRL3-2:3
Source: RNAcentral